Molecule: ribosomal RNA, 524 nt
Filed under: uncultured bacterium
Lineage: Bacteria
Description: bacterial SSU rRNA
Rfam family: Bacterial small subunit ribosomal RNA
Source: RNAcentral
GAUCUGGUUCAGAACGAACGCUGGUAGCGUGGAUUAGGCAUGCAAGUCGAACGGGAUCGCUGGGUUAGCAAUAAUCCGGCGUGAGAGUGGCGGAUUGGGGAGGAACACGUGAGCAACCUGCCUUUGAGUCGGGGAAAACCGUUGGAAACGACGGCUAAUACCGGAUGUGGCGCCCUGUGACAUCACGGGAGCGCUAAAGGGGGCCGCAAGGCUCCCGCUCGUAGAGGGGCUCGCGCACCAUCAGCUUGUUGGCGGGGUAACGGCCCACCAAGGCGUACGGUUAGCUGGUCUGAGAGGAUGACCAGCCCCACUGGGACUGAGAUACUGCCCAGACUCCUACGGGAGGCUGCAGUCGAGGAUCAUUUGCAAUGGGCGAAAGCCUGACAAUGCGACGCUGCGUGGAGGAUGAAGGCCUUCGGGUUGUAAACUCCUGUCAGUGGGGGAACAGGCGAGGGGACCCAAUACGUCCCUUAGUUGAGUGUACCCCAAGAGGAAUUGGCGGCUAACUCUGUGCCAGCAGCUGC